Molecule: long non-coding RNA, 335 nt
Organism: Gasterosteus aculeatus aculeatus (three-spined stickleback)
Lineage: Eukaryota; Metazoa; Chordata; Actinopteri; Perciformes; Gasterosteidae
Source: Ensembl
GACGCUACCGCGUCUGAUGCAGUUUUCAGAAGCGAUCAUAUUCGAAACAGAAAAGGUCCAUAUUGGAAAUUUUUGAGGAAUCCCCAGACCCUUCAGAGAUGGAUGGAUGAAAGGGACUCACCAAAGCCCCAAACCACCUACAAAACCAAACAAAUCUACCAAAUUCUCCAUGAAAACUGGAGGGUCAUUUAGCUACCAGAAAAAAAUUAGAACAAUUGUAUAGAAGCAUAAUGUGGAAGCACUGCAUUUUUUUCCUGUGAGAUCACCCUGUUGAGUGGAAUAUGCUUUAAAGGGAAUAUAAUGCCAUACACAUAUAGUCUUUACAUGUGAAACAG